GAUGAACGCUGGCGGUAUGCUUAACACAUGCAAGUCGAACGGACUCUUCGGAGUUAGUGGCGGACGGGUGAGUAACGCGUGAGAAUCUGGCUUUGGGUUCGGGACAACCACUGGAAACGGUGGCUAAUACCGGAUGUGCCGAGAGGUAAAAGAGAAAUUGCCUGAAGAUGAGCUCGCGUCUGAUUAGCUAGUUGGUGAGGUAAAGGCUCACCAAGGCAGCGAUCAGUAGCUGGUCUGAGAGGAUGACCAGCCACACUGGGACUGAGACACGGCCCAGACUCCUACGGGAGGCAGCAGUGGGGAAUUUUCCGAAAUGGGGGAAAGCCUGACGGAGCAAAACCGGGGGAGGGAAGAAGGCUUUGGGGUUGUAAACCUUUUUUCUUAGGGAAGAAAAAAAUGACGGUACCAAAGGAAUCAGCAUCGGCUAACUCCGU
This 434-nucleotide ribosomal RNA is filed under the name uncultured bacterium. RNAcentral's name for it is "partial 16S ribosomal RNA". It matches the Rfam family "Bacterial small subunit ribosomal RNA", at positions 28 to 506 of the family's 1533-position model. The record is from RNAcentral.